This 253-nucleotide ribosomal RNA is filed under the name uncultured bacterium. RNAcentral describes it as "partial 16S ribosomal RNA". It matches the Rfam family "Bacterial small subunit ribosomal RNA", at positions 524 to 776 of the family's 1533-position model. The record is from RNAcentral.
UACGAGCGGCCCAAACGUUGUUCGGAAUCACUGGGCCUAAAGGGCGCGUAGGCGGCUUGUCAAGUCAGGGGUGAAAUCCGGCAGCUUAACUGUCGAAGUGCCUUUGAUACUGAUGAGCUCGAGGGAGGUAGGGGUAUGUGGAACUUCCGGUGGAGCGGUGAAAUGCGUUGAUAUCGGAAGGAACGCCGGUGGCGAAAGCGACGUACUGGACCUCUUCUGACGCUGAGGCGCGAAAGCCAGGGGAGCAAACGGG